RNAcentral lists this ribosomal RNA (166 nucleotides) under uncultured bacterium. RNAcentral describes it as "partial 16S rRNA". It matches the Rfam family "Bacterial small subunit ribosomal RNA", at positions 355 to 512 of the family's 1533-position model. The record is from RNAcentral.
UAGGGAAUCUUCGGCAAUGGACGAAAGUCUGACCGAGCAACGCCGCGUGAGUGAAGAAGGUUUUCGGAUCGUAAAACUCUGUUGGUGGAGAAGAACGUUGGUGAGAGUGGAAAGCUCAUCAAGUGACGGUAACUACCCAGAAAGGGACGGCUAACUACGUGCCAAG